RNAcentral lists this ribosomal RNA (255 nucleotides) under uncultured bacterium. RNAcentral's name for it is "partial 16S ribosomal RNA". It matches the Rfam family "Bacterial small subunit ribosomal RNA", at positions 524 to 777 of the family's 1533-position model. The record is from RNAcentral.
UACAGAGGUCCCAAGCGUUGUUCGGAAUUACUGGGCGUAAAGCGCACGUAGGCGGCGAUUCAAGUCAGAGGUGAAAGCCCGGGGCUCAACUCCGGAACUGCCUUUGAAACUAGAUUGCUAGAAUCUUGGAGAGGCGAGUGGAAUUCCGAGUGUAGAGGUGAAAUUCGUAGAUAUUCGGAAGAAACACCAGUGGCGAAGGCGACUCGCUGGACAAGUAUUGACGCUGAGGUGCGAAAGCGUGGGGAGCAAACAGGG